Molecule: transfer RNA, 75 nt
Filed under: Fusobacteriaceae bacterium
Lineage: Bacteria; Fusobacteriati; Fusobacteriota; Fusobacteriia; Fusobacteriales; Fusobacteriaceae
Description: tRNA-Glu
Rfam family: tRNA
About the family: Transfer RNA (tRNA) molecules are approximately 80 nucleotides in length. Their secondary structure includes four short double-helical elements and three loops (D, anti-codon, and T loops).
Source: RNAcentral
GCGCCUAUAGUCUAGUGGCUAGGACGCCGCAUUCUCAGUGCGGAGAGGAGAGUUCGAAUCUCUCUAGGCGUACCA